AAUAACGCGAUGAUAAGAAGAGUACGUUCGUAAUAACCGUUUAUAGAGAGCCUUGUUUGCUGAAAAUAGGUAAUGGAUAUUGAACCGAAGAUGGUCUUUGAGCAGAAUAAGUGAAUGCUUUGCAUAAGCCUAUUCCGGGUGCACCCGAUAACGUGCCACAGUAUAAAAAAGUUGAAAAAGACUUAAGUACUGAAUGAGGUUGAUUUAGUGAUGAAUUGACAAAUUAAGGUGGUAACACGAAAAUGCAAAACUUUCGUCCUUAUA
This 264-nucleotide non-coding RNA is filed under the name Carnobacterium inhibens. Its description in RNAcentral is "T-box sequence". It matches the Rfam family "T-box leader". From Rfam's summary of the family: Uncharged tRNA acts as the effector for transcription antitermination of genes in the T-box leader family. T-boxes are found upstream of many aminoacyl-tRNA synthetase genes and some amino acid biosynthetic genes usually in Gram-positive bacteria. Lineage: Bacteria; Bacillati; Bacillota; Bacilli; Lactobacillales; Carnobacteriaceae. The record is from RNAcentral.